Molecule: long non-coding RNA, 143 nt
Organism: Limulus polyphemus (Atlantic horseshoe crab)
Lineage: Eukaryota; Metazoa; Arthropoda; Merostomata; Xiphosura; Limulidae
Exons: 3
Source: RefSeq, a predicted model, not a curated record
AGUAUCCAGGAGUAGGACUAGCGUCCUAGUUCGGACACCAGGUGAGCAUGUUUCAGUGUGAUGGGGAUUCGAACACGCGACCCUCAGAUUGCGAGUCGAGCGCCCUAACCACCUGGCCAUGCCGGGCCAUUGAUUACAUUAAA